This is a long non-coding RNA of Lonchura striata (white-rumped munia), 5293 nucleotides long. RefSeq lists it as uncharacterized. The record is from RefSeq and is a predicted model, not a curated record. NCBI's taxonomy places the organism in Eukaryota, Metazoa, Chordata, Aves, Passeriformes, Estrildidae.
GCUUUAUCAGAUGCAGUCUAUAUCUUUCUGUAAGUCACCUUAAACAUAUAACUGCAAAAGAAAUUGUUGGAUUUUAGCCCCUCUUUAACUCUUAGAAUUAAACAUUUUUCCAAAUCAUCACCACUUUUUUUCGGGAGGGGAGAAUAUUGCUUGCUGCAGGCAUUAGGAACCUGCCCUAUGUCUCUAACCGGGAUUAUUACAGACAGCCCCUUCUCAGCAUAAACAGAUCAUUAUUAAAUUUUCUUCCUCCCACCCCACCCUGCCUCACUACAGGGAGAAAAAACAACCCUUGUCGAUCUUCUGAUGAAUUGAUCCACGGAGAAAGCCAGAAUGCACAGGAAAACAUGUCUGAAGGCACGGGGCAGAGGAGCGGAGCCCGGUGAGUCUGUUCAGAGGCAGUUCCUUGUGCCCAGCCGUGCUGCCUGCCAGACCUCCCCAGGGACGAUGUCCCAGAGCUGGGGCCGGUCUCCUCCGUUCCAGCAUCGCUCCCGCUCCCUGAGCAUCCUCCAGCGACCAUCGCCCACCGCCCCUCCAGAGCUGCAGACACAAAAGCAAAGAGAGCGCCUCUACAAAGCUAAACCACAUCACUGUUAACAACCUAAGGCUGCACUGUGGACAUGGCUAUGUAUGAUAAUCACUGCUCUUCAUGAGAACAUCUCCAGGAAUGCUUUUAAGCUCAGGCAAAACAAAGAUGAACUAUUUUAAACAAAACUUUUCCCUGCACUGCCCAGUGUGGACAGCUUGGAAAAUGUCAGCCCAAGCAGUUGAAGUUUAGCAGAGCUAUAAGGUGCUGAAAACAAGGCCAGGUAGGCAAACUCAGAUGACUGAAAACAUUAUCCCUGAACCCCUGCACCACCUCUACACAGCCCGAGUGUCCAUGGGCACUGUGCUAAACUGCAGAAAGACUUGGGAGAUACUACUGCACCUCUGAAGGCAUUGCCAACAGCUUUAGUGGUUUCAACCAGGUGGUAGGAUCUAAAUGUAGAUCAUGCCAUGUUUAACAUAUUGAGUUCUAAAGUCAAAUACUUGGGAAAGCCAUUCAGGUCUCUUGAGUCCUGGGUAAACACUCAAGUGCUUCCAGUAACAGAGGAGAAACAAGAAUGUUUAAAGAAAAGGAAAAGGCCUAAGCUGCAGAGGUUUAAGCCUCUAUUGGAAGAGAAAGUUCUGCUCGAGACAACUCAGAUAAAGCAAGGCUCUUUCAAAUUCAUCUCCCUAAAUACAGAAAACAGAUCUUAGCCCCAGCUCUCACAAGCAGAGAUUCAGCUCCAAUUUACUGCUCUCUGAGAUCACAGCAGUCACUCUGAGUUCUGCUUACUGUCUUGCCAACAACUUCACGUUCUACAGCUUCUUCUCUGAGCUGGACAGGCUUCUGCAUGAACAGACCUGUUUCCUCAAAAGCCUUGCUAUGAGGACUGCUGCUUGAUUCAAGCCCAUCUCUGCUUCCCCCUGUUUGCCUUUUGGAUACAUCAAGCCCAGCCUCCUACCCAAAAUCCUGCUACAGGAAAAACCCAUUGCUUGCUGCAGAGAGGAAGGUGACAUUGCUCUGAAUGCAGGAGUUUUAUAGCAAGGUCACUUGCUGCCUAAAGCCAGCUACAAAAGCAAGAUGGCUCUCAACAUCACCAUCAUUGGGCUCAGCUGAAAACAGGAGAUUUCACUUCAUUAAAAUUCAUAGAUCUUGUGACUCUUAUAGAAAUAGCAAGAAGAAUCCAGGAUGGCAGAGAUGAGAUAUUAGGGCCAAAGAGUACUGACUGAGAGCAAAAGCUCAGACCUCUGUCUGCCAAAAAUAAGCAUAUUUGGUAAGAGGUGGCUUUAAUUCUUAAAGUUACAUCUAACACAUUGAUCUUCAAUAUAUUAAAGCCUGAUUAAUUCUGUUUUUUCUUUACUGCAUCAAUAUGUAUUCAUAUAGGCAACCUAAUGCAAAGGUAUAUCUGCAGUACUGUUGGGUUGCUUGACAUGGCAAGUCAAACUGCACUAAACUUCCCCUAAACUUCUGACAGAUUUCAGAAUACAUUGUUCAUUCCCACAGAGAGUUUUGGACAUGGUUUCUACCAGCAGUAUUUUCUGAGCUAAUGCAGUGAAAGUCAUUGCCACAGCCUUUGUAGAUGGAUAACGUGGUGUUUCAUAGUGAAUGUAUCACAUUUGUGAUUGACUCUCAGCUAUUAAUUAAAUUCAUUGCUUCUUUUAGUCACAAAAGAAGAAAAAUGAUUAAUUAAAAAUCAGAAUUCACAGAUCAUAAGAAGACAUCACAGAAGCAACUGGAGAGAAAACCAGUAAUCAAAACAAAAACCAGCAACUGCUUGGAAAAUUAUAUUCUCUAAAAGCACUCCUUCAUUUUGGAACAAGACUCAGAAGCAAGACUUCAGUCUUCACCUAUUCUAUUUGACUGCGAAGUCCCAACAGAGUAGAUUCAUUUAAAUAAUUUUUUUAAAAGGUAUAUAAAAAUAUAUUGUGUGCUGCUGUAAAAGCAGCUGACAUCUAGGAUGAUAAACUCUCUAUUUAGACAUAAGCAUGCUGCCAUCUUCAACAGUUUUGCAUUUACUUCUCUUCAUUUAUUAUCACCUAUUAUAUUUGCAUCAAAAUAAAGUAGCUGGUUCUUCAGAGUUCAUCUGUUUGUGCAGUUCAUUUCCCCAACUCAUGCUUCAGGACUGUGAUAUCACAAUUACACCUUGCACUCUGAAGUUGUUCCAGGGAGAACUGCUGGGCCAUGACAGACAGGCAUUUAUUCCCCUUUGCUGCAAUGGCCUCCAGUAAGUACCCACCAAACAAGAAAUCAUGGGGAGUACCAAGCUUCAGUGACCAUACUCUGAUUGUCCAUGAUAAAGAAACAGGCCUGCAAGAAGUUACUUGUUUCCAGAGAAAUAAUGUUUCCAAGACUAAGAAACAAAAUUUCCCAAUGACAAAAAACAAAAACAAAAACAAACAAACAAACAAACAAACAAACAAAAACCACAACAACAAAAAAACCUGAAAAUUUAUGACUCACAGAAAUAAAAUCUGAAGAAGGAAUUUUUCUCAGGAAAAAGGGAACAAAUGUCCAGAAAGCAUGUGUAGGAGCAUGGCUUACUCAGCCUGGGUACCAGCAAGGUCAGAGAGAAAGAACUGAACCAAAAAAAGGCCUCUACAGAAUGCUUCUAACAGGCUGAAGCAACUGAGGCUGAGAAGUGCAUGUAUUGAUUAUGAUUCUCCAGACAGGCAAAUUCUAAACCAGAGAGCACCUCUGGUUCCAUAACUAACAGCAGCCUCAUGUCACCCACCAGGACUACAGCAAGGAACUCCAAACUAAAACCAAAACUAUUAUCUGUUUCAAUAACUCUGCCUUCAAAAGGCUCUGUGGGGGAGGAAGGUUGAUCAAUGAUGUUUAGGUCUACAAAGAGCACUACUGAAAUGACUGGGUACCUGGGAGUCCAGACAGAUCUUGGAAAAAUCUGCUGACUUAGAAAUCAAGGCAGCCAGAGUGGCUAUCCAGAGUGCUCCCAAAGACCUAACAAUCUAUCCCGUGAUCAGCACUGGUCGAGAUAUUCUAAGACAAGAAGUGACCUAAACCAGGAAAAUAUUAAGAGAAAUCUGCAUUGAAAUGCACCACAGGGGUCAACAGAGGUCAACAAAAUCAAAGUCUGCUGUAACUCAGGGCAACCACCAGCUCACAAACCCAAGAGGUCUAGAUCCAAGACAGUAUCUUGAAAAGAGUUCAGCUUGAAGAAACAGAAAUGUGAACUCAAACAGACCCAACUAAUCUCCUUGGAUUUUAUGUUUAAGAGAUUGAUUUAUUCCUGAAAAUUCUAUUGCUGGAACAUUUUUAUUCACUCUGUUUUCACACUUGGUCAAACAGAAUUAGAGAUUAACAGUUUUGUGAUCCCGUUUGAAAGCCUUGGUGGAUGUCCUUUCAGAUGAGUGUUGCAAGGAAUUAUGGAAGAGAAACUACAAGAGCUUUUAUCAGCAGUGAGCCAGAUGUCUCCAUUAUUUAUUCUCUUUUGCUGAUUCUGUCAUUUUAAUAUUUGUCCUUUUUUUUCCUCCCCUCUGCAAUCCUCUGUUCCAGCCAAAAAAUAUGUGUCUUUGUUACUGUUGCCUUUAAAAAUUUUAUGUGCAUGUUGCUAGGAAAGUAACAAUAACAGUUCUGUAGUAUGUUUUUCACAAGGGGAAGCCAAAACAUUUUCUAAGAAUCAAUUAAUCUUCACAACCCAUUUCUGAAGCAGACAUUAUUUUCCCCAGUUUACAGAGAGAUGAAAUGGCAGACAGGUUAAUUAACUUGCUCAAGGUCAUCCAGUGAGUUAGCAAUCGAGCUGCAAAAAAACCCCAAGAUUCAACAAUUCCCAUUCCCAAACCCUUCACCUAACCACUAAGAAAUAUCCCUUCUCUUCGGGCUUAAGUAUUUUGUUGAAAUCUAUCACUGACCACUUAUUCUGACAUAUUGUUGAAUUCCAAAUUAGUCAGUCUAAGUGACAAAGAUGGAAGCGUGGGGAGCUCCACAGCAUCCUUUGCCUGUUCAGCCUUGUGCAGAGCCACUACGCCGGACAGCUCCUCUCCCAUUAAAAAUGGAUGUGUUACAGAUCUCCUGCAGAACUGCCAAUAUCAUUGCAGGCACUGCUCCGAGGGCGCUGCACAAGAGACACACGGCACCGGCUCACUUUCCCCAGGAGGAGGGAAGGCUGCCUCAACAGCCUGGCUGCUGGGGAAAGCAAUCAACUCAAAAUACCAAGUAGCUUUGAAAAAUAAUUUCUGUUUUCCUCUUAAACUGCAUCUCCCUUCCAAGUGUUCCCUGUGUUAGACAGCUGGAGUGGCAGUACUUAAUAGUGACAUCUUUGUGGAUUCCACUCUGGCAUUAGUUUGAUGAGUUACUUUAAAGUCAAAAUAUCCUUUAAAUGCCCACCCAGAGUCUGUCAGUCUCUUAACACUGCGCAUUCUCUCCGGAGGGAUUUGCAAUUCAGAUGUCUUCACGGCUCAGCAUGAAUUGCUGUGCAACAAAAUACAGUUGAAAUUUUCCAAUUAAUCAUGAACACAUAAUGAAUAACAAAUUAUUUUUAAACAUGCAUGUAGCCAAUGCAGUUCUACCAAAUGCUCAGAGGGUCCUUCUACUUACUCAGAUGAUUUUGUUCCAUUAUUUAUGUCAGUAUUUAUUACAAUAAAAUGUUAGAGAUCAUGUUGCAGCACAACAGUUUUAAGCAUAAGACUUAAGAAUGAAGUUGAUCACUUUGUCAUACAGGUACUGCUCAAAUGCCUCAUUUCCAAGAUCAAAGGAUACAAGUUCAGACUCUGCUUUCCUCCAAAUGUCAAUAAACAAGCACCAAUGAGCAGA